Molecule: long non-coding RNA, 2241 nt
Organism: Gymnogyps californianus (California condor)
Lineage: Eukaryota; Metazoa; Chordata; Aves; Accipitriformes; Cathartidae
Exons: 5
Source: RefSeq, a predicted model, not a curated record
AGUAUCUGCAGCUUUGUUUCCUGCAGAGAAAAUGCUAGUUUGAAUUCUCACUCAAGAAAGAUCUAAAGCAUCACUGAGUCAAGGGCUUUCUACCCUGAAUUCAAUAGACUUCAGUCUGCCUUUCAGAUAAACCGCAUCCCUGCAAGUAUACUGACACUUGAAAAAGAGUCCUUGGAUAACCUGCACAGAAGCUGAACCACCAGAGAGGUGCUACUUCAGAAAAGCAAGCAGACAAAGGUACCAGAAGCAGUGCAGGGGAAACACUUCUGGACCUUGGAAAUUUCUACAUCGCUCUUCUAUGGUGACUCAGCUGAAGAUCUCCCAUACGAUCUAGGAGAAUGCGUGGUGGGGCGGGAUUUCCAUCCUUUGAAGGAGUGUAGCAGGGUCCUCAGCUCAUGAAAGGAAAGAAAAAGAAGCCUUUGCAGAAUCCGAAGACAGUGGAAUACAUUCUGCGAUUUCCUGGACUUUAUGCUACCUCUUGAAACUGAACAUAACUACAAAGAGUACGAAGAAUUUAAUAAAUUACAGAUACCCAGUACUUCAAUGGACAUUUACAGAAAUACACGGUAUGGUCGUUAGGUUGUCUGGGACCUGAAAUUCUUGCAUUCAAGUCCCUGCUCCUCGGCGGACCCUUAGGCCAUAAUUAAAGAGCCUACAUUUUAUUUACGCUGUGGGGCUCAUGUUUCCUACAGCCACCAUGCUCCUGAGACGGCCAGUGGUAAGCUCCAGGAACAGGACUCAGGCAGAACGUGCUGUCUCAGUACAGCCCUUCCAUACACUUUUCAUCCAAUCUCUCAGGACCUGCUUCACAUAAGUGUUUAUAUACCUCAUCUCAAUCAGUUCCUUGAGCCUUGGCACCCAAGUAACCCACCCGUGAAGCUGGGUGUCACGAUGUUUUGCCUCUCCGAGAUACUGUGAGGAUAAAGGACAGACGCCAAGGGAAGGGCUUGGUAAAUCAGGCCCAGCACCAGGCACAUGUGGGCGUUUUCGUUGCCAGGACCCAAGCUAACGUCUCCCCAGGAGAUGGUUUUGCUCCACACAGACGCACCAGCAUUCUGCUCUGCUCCAGAUUUGAGGGUGCGACACACAUGCACCCUGAGCGGUGCUAUGCCACUUUUAUCCCAAAUCUAGAGCGGGUGACGAAUUUUUUGGUCAAGAACUUGCCUGCAGUGAUUCACGCUUCUGGGACUGUAAAGAAGUUGGGAACGUCAGAGCAAUCCUUAAAACUGAACCAAAGGGGGCAUGGGGAGGAGUGAAACUGCUUGGAGCCAUCUUGAUGCCUCAUCUAUCUGCGUCGAGCAUAGCCCGACCAUAGGUGGGGAUUUGCUCCUAUUUCAUGUCACAGAGGUAUGAGGAGGCGUGCAUAACAAUAACCUUGGCAUUUAUUCCUUUCUCUGGAAAGUAUUUUAUUCAUCUACGUAUAUAUUACACAUUGAAAAAAUGUUAUCGGAGUUUGAAAAGACAAUAGUUUAGAUGUGCUUGAUUUGUGGACUACAAAUACACUUAAGCCGAAAGGAGGCCUAAAAAACUAGUGUGUCACAAAAUAGUUGCAGAUUUUAAGGCUGAAGGCCAAAUUUCAGUAUAUGGUGUUGUUUUCUGUAUUCCCUAUGAUCACAAAGUGAGGCAGAGAGCAUGACAGGCACUGGGCUUGAUGAAGGGGUCUCUCAUUAUUUUAAGAAACCAGGCCUUGUUCUGGUUUUUUCCCCCUUUGCUCCUGAAUCCAGUGGACACAAGAUUAGCUCUGAAAAGAGAGCAGGCCUGAGAAUUCCAAUUAAUAUUCAGAGGGAAAAACUCACAGAAUUUUUGUGAAGAGCUUGUUCAUGCCAGUCCCCUCCCAAGCACAUCCUAUUUAUAUGGCCUAUAAACCAAAAAGACUGCGAAGAGCAGAGAUGAGUGAAACUUCUUUAGUGUGUAAAGUGACAGCCAUUGCUCUAGUUUGUGUAAUAACAGUAAUGAGUAGAUAGGUAUAAAAUACUAUUUGUUUACAAGUACUGUAUAAAUAUCAACUAAAUAAUUCUUGCAAUAGAUAUGGAAGUAGGUAUUUUUUAUUGUAACGUGACUGGUAAUUUGUAUUCAAACUUGGGUCAGAAAACUCAGGCUUGGGCCUCCAAAGUUCAGUAACGUAUUUAUGGUCCCAAAAUAAGCGUUGUGGUUUUCAGAGAUGACAGGUAGGCCUGCUUUCACUGAACUCAGCCAAUAUGGCAGCUAUUUGUUGAAUUAUCUGUUCAUUUUAAGUACAUU